This 73-nucleotide transfer RNA is filed under the name Paragonimus skrjabini miyazakii. RNAcentral's name for it is "Paragonimus miyazakii tRNA-Val". Lineage: Eukaryota; Metazoa; Platyhelminthes; Trematoda; Plagiorchiida; Troglotrematidae. The record is from RNAcentral.
GAUUCCGUGGUGUAGUGGUUAUCACGUCUGCCGAACACACAGAGGGUCCCCAGUUCGAGCCUGGUCGGAAUCA